UACGGAGGGUGCAAGCGUUAUCCGGAUUCACUGAGUUUAAAGGGUGCGUAGGUGGGCAAGUAAGUCAGUGGUGAAAUCUCCGGGCUUAACCCGGAAACUGCCAUUGAUACUAUUUGUCUUGAAUACUGUGGAGGUCAGCGGAAUAUGUCAUGUAGCGGUGAAAUGCUUAGAUAUGACAUAGAACACCAAUUGCGAAGGCAGCUGGCUACACAAAUAUUGACACUGAGGCACGAAAGCGUGGGGAUCAAACAGG
Molecule: ribosomal RNA, 253 nt
Filed under: uncultured bacterium
Lineage: Bacteria
Description: partial 16S ribosomal RNA
Rfam family: Bacterial small subunit ribosomal RNA
Source: RNAcentral